CGGGACGUAGCGCAGCCUGGUUAGCGCGCCUGCCUUGGGAGCAGGAGGCCGGCGGUUCAAAUCCGCCCGUCCCGA
This 75-nucleotide transfer RNA is filed under the name Desulfobacca acetoxidans DSM 11109. It matches the Rfam family "tRNA". From Rfam's summary of the family: Transfer RNA (tRNA) molecules are approximately 80 nucleotides in length. Their secondary structure includes four short double-helical elements and three loops (D, anti-codon, and T loops). Further hydrogen bonds mediate the characteristic L-shaped molecular structure. tRNAs have two regions of fundamental functional importance: the anti-codon, which is responsible for specific mRNA codon recognition, and the 3' end, to which the tRNAs corresponding amino acid is attached (by aminoacyl-tRNA synthetases). tRNAs cope with the degeneracy of the genetic code in two manners: having more than one tRNA (with a specific anti-codon) for a particular amino acid; and 'wobble' base-pairing, i.e. permitting non-standard base-pairing at the 3rd anti-codon position. The record is from Rfam by way of RNAcentral. Lineage: Bacteria; Pseudomonadati; Thermodesulfobacteriota; Desulfobaccia; Desulfobaccales; Desulfobaccaceae.